RNAcentral lists this ribosomal RNA (440 nucleotides) under uncultured bacterium. RNAcentral describes it as "partial 16S ribosomal RNA". It matches the Rfam family "Bacterial small subunit ribosomal RNA", at positions 338 to 795 of the family's 1533-position model. The record is from RNAcentral.
CCUACGGGAGGCAGCAGUGGGGAAUAUUGCACAAUGGGGGAAACCCUGAUGCAGCGACGCCGCGUGAGUGAAGAAGUAUUUCGGUAUGUAAAGCUCUAUCAGCAGGGAAGAAAAUGACGGUACCUGAUUAAGAAGCCCCGGCUAACUACGAGCCAGCAGCCGCGGUAAUACGUAGGGGGCAAGCGUUAUCCGGAUUUACUGGGUGUAAAGGGAGCGUAGACGGCAGCACAAGUCUGGAGUGAAAUGCCGGGGCUUAACCCCGGAACUGCUUUGGAAACUGUGCAGCUAGAGUGCAGUAGAGGUAAGUGGAAUUCCUGGUGUAGCGGUGGAAUGCGUAGAUAUUAGGAGGAACACCAGUGGCGAAGGCGGCUUACUGGACUGUAACUGACGUUGAGGCUCGAAAGCGUGGGGAGCAAACAGGAUUAGAUACCCCUGUAGUC